UACGUAGGUGGCAAGCGUUGUCCGGAUUUACUGGACGUAAAGAGCGCGCAGGCGGUCGUUCAAGUCGCGUGUGAAAGCCCCCGGCUCAACUGGGGAGGGUCACGCGAUACUGAUCGACUCGAAGGCAGGAGAGGGUAGUGGAAUUCCCGGUGUAGUGGUGAAAUGCGUAGAUAUCGGGAGGAACACCAGUGGCGAAGGCGACUACCUGGCCUGUUCUUGACGCUGAGGCGCGAAAGCUGGGGGAGCAAACGGG
This 253-nucleotide ribosomal RNA is filed under the name uncultured bacterium. RNAcentral's name for it is "partial 16S ribosomal RNA". It matches the Rfam family "Bacterial small subunit ribosomal RNA", at positions 524 to 776 of the family's 1533-position model. The record is from RNAcentral.